This 537-nucleotide long non-coding RNA is filed under the name Coffea arabica (coffee). RNAcentral describes it as "long non-coding RNA (CARA_LNC002388)". The record is from RNAcentral. Lineage: Eukaryota; Viridiplantae; Streptophyta; Magnoliopsida; Gentianales; Rubiaceae.
CUUAGAUUAGUUGUUGUCCACUAAAGCCCGGAGGACCAAAAAAAAAUCGGUUUGGGCUUUGGCAGAUGACAUCUACUUCCCCAACUUCUUCUCCUACUAAUGCAGUCCCACCAGCUACUUCUCCUUCUAAUGCUUCCGGCAUUACUCCUCCCAAUGUGUCACAGCAGCCUAAUCCGACUCCUGAUGCUCCACCUCCUUCUACCCCUUCAACCUCUUCCAGUCCGCCUCCUCAAUCCCCUCCUCCAGCCCCUCCUCCCCAACCCCAAUCAUCACCACCACCAUUAUCAACACGCCCCCUUCCCCUUCCUUACCUCCUCCGUCCUCCCUCCCCUUCCGUCUGUGCCACCUCCUGCUACCCCCCCUCCAUCUGUAAACUUAUCACCCCUCCUCCCCACAAGCAUCACCUUCCCCUCCCUUUGGCACAGCACCUCCCUCUCCAGCUCUUUCACCCUCUCCUCCUCUGCCAAUUACAGUCCCAUCACCAUCUACCUCAGUUUCUCCACCUCCUCCCGCUAUAAAGUCACCCCUCACUAGCCC